This 443-nucleotide ribosomal RNA is filed under the name uncultured bacterium. RNAcentral describes it as "partial 16S ribosomal RNA". It matches the Rfam family "Bacterial small subunit ribosomal RNA", at positions 338 to 795 of the family's 1533-position model. The record is from RNAcentral.
CCUACGGGUGGCAGCAGUGGGGAAUAUUGGACAAUGGGGGGAACCCUGAUCCAGCGACGCCGCGUGAGUGAAGAAGUAUUUCGGUAUGUAAAGCUCUAUCAGCAGGGAAGAAAGAAAUGACGGUACCUGACUAAGAAGCCCCGGCUAACUACGUGCCAGCAGCCGCGGUAAUACGUAGGGGGCAAGCGUUAUCCGGAUUUACGGGGUGGAAAGGGAGCGUAGACGGCGAUGCAAGUCUGAAGUGAAAGGCGGGGGCUCAACCCGCGGACUGCUUUGGAAACUGUGUGGCUGGAGUGCAGGAGAGGUGAGUGGAAUUCCUAGUGUAGCGGUGAAAUGCGUAGAUAUUAGGAGGAACACCAGUGGCGAAGGCGGCUUACUGGACUGUAACUGACGUUGAGGCUCGAAAGCGUGGGGAGCAAACAGGAUUAGAUACCCUAGUAGUC